RNAcentral lists this ribosomal RNA (771 nucleotides) under uncultured Vagococcus sp. RNAcentral describes it as "bacterial SSU rRNA". It matches the Rfam family "Bacterial small subunit ribosomal RNA", at positions 28 to 776 of the family's 1533-position model. The record is from RNAcentral. Lineage: Bacteria; Bacillati; Bacillota; Bacilli; Lactobacillales; Enterococcaceae.
GAUGAACGCUGGCGGCGUGCCUAAUACAUGCAAGUCGAACGCACGAAGUUGAAGAGCUUGCUCUUUAACCAAGUGAGUGGCGGACGGGUGAGUAACACGUGGGUAACCUGCCCAUUAGAGGGGGAUAACAUUCGGAAACGAAUGCUAAUACCGCAUAGUUUCAGGAAUCGCAUGAUUCUUGAAGGAAAGGUGGCUUCGGCUACCACUAAUGGAUGGACCCGCGGCGUAUUAGCUAGUUGGUGAGGUAAUGGCUCACCAAGGCAAUGAUACGUAGCCGACCUGAGAGGGUGAUCGGCCACACUGGGACUGAGACACGGCCCAGACUCCUACGGGAGGCAGCAGUAGGGAAUCUUCCGCAAUGGACGAAAGUCUGACGGAGCAACGCCGCGUGAGUGAAGAAGGUUUUCGGAUCGUAAAACUCUGUUGUUAAAGAAGAACAAGGAUGAGAGUAACUGCUCAUCCCCUGACGGUAUUUAACCAGAAAGCCACGGCUAACUACGUGCCAGCAGCCGCGGUAAUACGUAGGUGGCAAGCGUUGUCCGGAUUUAUUGGGCGUAAAGCGAGCGCAGGCGGUUCUUUAAGUCUGAUGUGAAAGCCCCCGGCUCAACCGGGGAGGGUCAUUGGAAACUGGAGAACUUGAGUGCAGAAGAGGAGAGUGGAAUUCCACGUGUAGCGGUGAAAUGCGUAGAUAUGUGGAGGAACACCAGUGGCGAAGGCGACUCUCUGGUCUGUAACUGACGCUGAGGCUCGAAAGCGUGGGGAGCAAACAGG